UGGGAUUUGCCUCAGUAGCGGCGAGUGAAGCGGCAAAAGCUCAAAUUUGAAAUCUGGCGUCUUUGGCGUCCGAGUUGUAAUUUGAAGAAGGUAUCUUUGGGCCCGGCUCUUGUCUAUGUUCCUUGGAACAGGACGUCACAGAGGGUGAGAAUCCCGUGCGAUGAGAUGACCCGGGUCUGUGUAAAGUUCCUUCGACGAGUCGAGUUGUUUGGGAAUGCAGCUCUAAGUGGGUGGUAAAUUCCAUCUAAAGCUAAAUAUUGGCGAGAGACCGAUAGCGAACAAGUACAGUGAUGGAAAGAUGAAAAGAACUUUGAAAAGAGAGUGAAAAAGUACGUGAAAUUGUUGAAAGGGAAGGGCUUGAGAUCAGACUUGGUAUUUUGCAUGCUGCUCUCUCGGGGGCGGCCGCUGCGGUUUACCGGGCCAGCAUCGGUUUGGAGCGGCAGGAUAAUGGCGGAGGAAUGUGGCACGGCUUCUGCUGUGUGUUAUAGCCUCUGACGAUACUGCCAGCCUAGACCGAGGACUGCGGUUUUUAACCUAGGAUGUUGGCAUAAUGAUCUUAAGUCGCCCGUCUUGACAACAGCGAGACACACUAUU
This 594-nucleotide ribosomal RNA is filed under the name Candida albicans. RNAcentral describes it as "eukaryotic LSU rRNA". It matches the Rfam family "Eukaryotic large subunit ribosomal RNA", at positions 70 to 664 of the family's 3401-position model. The record is from RNAcentral. Lineage: Eukaryota; Fungi; Ascomycota; Pichiomycetes; Serinales; Debaryomycetaceae.